This 492-nucleotide ribosomal RNA is filed under the name uncultured bacterium. RNAcentral's name for it is "partial 16S ribosomal RNA". It matches the Rfam family "Bacterial small subunit ribosomal RNA", at positions 29 to 507 of the family's 1533-position model. The record is from RNAcentral.
AGUGAACGCUGGCGGUAGGCCUAACACAUGCAAGUCGAACGGCAGCACAGUAAGAGCUUGCUCUUACGGGUGGCGAGUGGCGGACGGGUGAGGAAUACAUCGGAAUCUACUUUUUCGUGGGGGAUAACGUAGGGAAACUUACGCUAAUACCGCAUACGACCUACGGGUGAAAGCAGGGGAUCUUCGGACCUUGCGCGAUUGAAUGAGCCGAUGUCGGAUUAGCUAGUUGGCGGGGUAAAGGCCCACCAAGGCGACGAUCCGUAGCUGGUCUGAGAGGAUGAUCAGCCACACUGGAACUGAGACACGGUCCAGACUCCUACGGGAGGCAGCAGUGGGGAAUAUUGGACAAGGGGGGAAAGCCUGAUCCAGCCAUACCGCGUGGGUGAAGAAGGCCUUCGGGUUGUAAAGCCCUUUUGUUGGGAGAGAAAAGCAGCAGGUUAAUACCCCGCUGUUCUGACGGUACCCAAAGAAUAAGCACCGGCUAACUUCGUG